Pan troglodytes (chimpanzee) is the source of this 523-nucleotide long non-coding RNA. RefSeq lists it as uncharacterized. NCBI's taxonomy places the organism in Eukaryota, Metazoa, Chordata, Mammalia, Primates, Hominidae. The transcript has 2 exons. The record is from RefSeq and is a predicted model, not a curated record.
GGCUCAGAGUUGAAGAUGACCUAGAUCAUGCGUCAACAAACUAUGGCCUGAGGGCCAAAGCCAGCGCACCACCCGUUUUUGUACAGCCCAUGGGUUAAGAAGAGUUUUCAAAAUUUUAAACAGCAGUCUCCCCUUAUCCAUGGUUUCACCUUCUGUGGUUUCAGUUACUUGCAGUCAACCAUGGCCCAAAAAUAGCUACGAUCAGUGACCAUGGACUCAUAAGGCUUUUGUUUAAGAAUUGCCUAAGAUGUUCUUCAGAUCCUGAAUUCCAGCAGAAAAGCUAAUGCCAACCAGUUUGAAAACAACCACAGAGGAAUCGAAUCAGCACGAGAAUGCAGUUUCUUCAUUUCCCUGUCCCAUGACUUUACUCUGCACUCUUUGACCAAUCAAUAAUCCUGAACCUUGGCCCACUUCAAACCCCUUGAAAUCUCUAGCUCCAACUCCCUGGAGGGGUGGAUUUGAGGUUUCCUCCUGUUUCCUUGUUUGGCUGCCGUAUGAUUAUUAAACUCUUUCUUUGCUGCAA